This is a long non-coding RNA of Panonychus citri (citrus red mite), 456 nucleotides long. RefSeq lists it as uncharacterized. Lineage: Eukaryota; Metazoa; Arthropoda; Arachnida; Trombidiformes; Tetranychidae. The record is from RefSeq and is a predicted model, not a curated record. The transcript is spliced from 3 exons.
CAUGGAACAAUUUGGUUAAAAGAAGACUGAAAAAAGUUCAAUAUUUACAUUUGGAAGAAUCUGAUGAAUCUCGGUAUUUUCAAUUUCGUGAUUCAUCUUACAACCAUAUCUACACGAAUGACCCGAGCUUACUUGAGAAGGUGAAUGUUUCUAAACUGUUACCAAAUCUUAAGUUUUUUACUACAAAUUAUUACGAUGCCCACCAUUGUAUGUGCAAGGCAACGAUCAAUGUUUUAUCGACUUCGAACACGUUGAUCGGAUUAAAAGAUCGAUCUCCAUGUUACGGAAUUGGUGCCCGCACUUGCACUCGCGGUGUUCACAUUGAUGAAAUAGUGCAACAUUGUGGUAAUUUAGAGUAUUUAUCGUCAGGAUCGGAAUCUUUUAUUCGGAGUUUUUUCUUCUCAUUUGGAGACAAUUUGAAACACUUUGAAGCUCGAGUAGAUCUCUCUAAAUUUU